AGCGAACGCUGGCGGCAGGCUUAACACAUGCAAGUCGAACGGGCAUAGCAAUAUGUCAGUGGCAGACGGGUGAGUAACGCGUGGGAACGUACCUUUUGGUUCGGAACAACACAGGGAAACUUGUGCUAAUACCGGAUAAGCCCUUACGGGGAAAGAUUUAUCGCCGAAAGAUCGGCCCGCGUCUGAUUAGCUAGUUGGUAGGGUAAUGGCCUACCAAGGCGACGAUCAGUAGCUGGUCUGAGAGGAUGAUCAGCCACAUUGGGACUGAGACACGGCCCAAACUCCUACGGGAGGCAGCAGUGGGGAAUAUUGGACAAUGGGCGAAAGCCUGAUCCAGCCAUGCCGCGUGAGUGAUGAAGGCCCUAGGGUUGUAUAGCUCUUUUGUGCGGGAAGAUAAUGACGGUACCGCAAGAAUAAGCCCCGGCUAACUUCGUG
Molecule: ribosomal RNA, 435 nt
Filed under: uncultured bacterium
Lineage: Bacteria
Description: partial 16S ribosomal RNA
Rfam family: Bacterial small subunit ribosomal RNA
Source: RNAcentral